UACGUAGGGCGCAAGCGUUAUCCGGAAUUAUUGGGCGUAAAGAGCUCGUAGGCGGUUUGUCGCGUCUGCCGUGAAAGUCCGGGGCUCAACUCCGGAUCUGCGGUGGGUACGGGCAGACUAGAGUGAUGUAGGGGAGACUGGAAUUCCUGGUGUAGCGGUGAAAUGCGCAGAUAUCAGGAGGAACACCAAUGGCGAAGGCAGCUCUCUGGGACGGUACUGACGCUGAGGAGCGAAAGCGUGGGGAGCGAACAGG
This 253-nucleotide ribosomal RNA is filed under the name uncultured bacterium. Its description in RNAcentral is "partial 16S ribosomal RNA". It matches the Rfam family "Bacterial small subunit ribosomal RNA", at positions 524 to 776 of the family's 1533-position model. The record is from RNAcentral.